Melanotaenia boesemani (Boeseman's rainbowfish) is the source of this 469-nucleotide long non-coding RNA. RefSeq lists it as uncharacterized. NCBI's taxonomy places the organism in Eukaryota, Metazoa, Chordata, Actinopteri, Atheriniformes, Melanotaeniidae. The transcript has 2 exons. The record is from RefSeq and is a predicted model, not a curated record.
GCGCCGUAUGGGGGGGAAAAGUUAGGAAGAUUCCAAGGGCCCACGACUUGAUAGGGGCCCAUUGAGAUAUAAAAAUAUAUAAGAAAAUUAUUAAGCAUUAUCUAGAAAUAAUAGCUAUUUUUUCAAGUAUAAUGAGAAAAUGUAGCAGUAAAAUAAAUUGCCACUCUGUUCUAACUUAUUUUUCAGUAGUAAAAUGAUAAAAAAAAAAAAUUGUUAUUGACGGCCACCUCCAUAAAACUAAAUGGUUUGGUCCUGGCUGUAAUAGCGCAUCAGUUUGAAUAAACCUGUCGGAAGCAUCGAAUAUUAAAAAUGCAGCGAGGGAAAAAUAAGUCGGGUUUUCAAAAAAGGAGAGAGCGAAAGGAGCGAAAUGAAAGACAGAAGAGAGGAUGCCAAUAUGUGACCCAUUUUUUCACCAAGAAAGAUGAGCCAGCAGCAGCCCCAUCUCCACAUAACCCGUCCCCCACCUGUC